CCCUUAGAUGUUCUGGGCAGCACGCGCGCUACAAUGGUCUUCGCAAACGGAUGCAUUCUCGAAGGAGAAUGCCAAUCUUGGAAUCUAUGCCUUGGUCGGGACAGUUGCUUGCAAUUUUUCGACUCGAACCAGGAAUUCCGUGUAAUCGUGAUUCAUCACAUCACGAUGAAUACGUCCCUGCCCUUUGUACACACCGCCCGUCGCUCCUACCGAUCGAAGAGUUAGGUGAAUUGUUUUGAUCGAUAAGAUUUGACUAUGGUCAACUCUCGUUGUGAAAUUCUGUGAAUCUGACUGUUUAGAGGAAGGAAAAGUCGUAACA
This 319-nucleotide ribosomal RNA is filed under the name uncultured eukaryote. Its description in RNAcentral is "partial 18S ribosomal RNA". It matches the Rfam family "Eukaryotic small subunit ribosomal RNA", at positions 1470 to 1796 of the family's 1831-position model. The record is from RNAcentral.